CCUACGGGUGGCAGCAGUGAGGAAUAUUGGUCAAUGGGCGCGAGCCUGAACCAGCCAAGUAGCGUGAAGGAUGACUGCCCUACGGGUUGUAAACUUCUUUUAUAAAGGAAUAAAGUGAGGCACGUGUGCCUUUUUAUAUGUACUUUAUGAAUAAGGAUCGGCUAACUCCGUGCCAGCAGCCGCGGUAAUACGGAGGAUCCGAGCGUUAUCCGGAUUUAUUGGGUUUAAAGGGAGCGUAGGUGGAUUGUUAAGUCAGUUGUGAAAGUUUGCGGCUCAACCGUAAAAUUGCAGUUGAAACUGGCAGUCUUGAGUACAGUAGAGGUGGGCGGAAUUCGUGGUGUAGCGGUGAAAUGCUUAGAUAUCACGAAGAACUCCGAUUGCGAAGGCAGCUCACUGGACUGCAACUGACACUGAGGCUCGAAAGUGUGGGUAUCAAACAGGAUUAGAUACCCUAGUAGUC
RNAcentral lists this ribosomal RNA (460 nucleotides) under uncultured bacterium. Its description in RNAcentral is "partial 16S ribosomal RNA". It matches the Rfam family "Bacterial small subunit ribosomal RNA", at positions 338 to 795 of the family's 1533-position model. The record is from RNAcentral.